This 274-nucleotide ribosomal RNA is filed under the name Thecophora modesta. Its description in RNAcentral is "partial 12S ribosomal RNA". Lineage: Eukaryota; Metazoa; Arthropoda; Insecta; Diptera; Conopidae. The record is from RNAcentral.
AGAGGAACCUGUUCUAUAAUCGAUAAUCCACGAUGGACCUCACUUAAAUUUGUAAUCAGUUUAUAUACCGUCGUUAUCAGAAGAUUUUAAAAGAAAUUUAAUUUUCAAUAAUUUUAGGAAAAAUUUAUAUCAGAUCAAGGUGUAGCUUAUAUUUAAGAAGAAAUGGGUUACAAUUAAUUUAUUAUUGGAUUUAUUUAUGAAAAAAAUAAUGAAAAUGGAUUUGAUAGUAAAAAUUUAAAGAAUAAAAUUUUGAUUUUAGCUCUAAAAUAUGCAC